UAAGCUGAUGAAUGAUGGAGAAGUCCAGUUCCAGAGAAGUUGGCUUGGUCGGUGACUUAUCCUUUUAUUCAUGCUGAUGUAUAGAAUUAUAACCUGUUUCAGGAUUGACUUUGCAGAGGGGGACUGUUUACUGGGAGAGGAUGGGUUAUUGUCCCCUGGCUGGAUUCUUCUUCCUUUCUCACAAUUCUUUUCUAGUUUAUCGGUUGUGUUAAAAUCUCUUUCAUACUUGUCUAGCUCUGCUUUGUGACUACCUGUCUUAAUCCGGGUCGUGAAUGCUCAAUAAUAUGAAGAGGUUUAUCAGUGUUCCAUUUGUUUAUUACUUGGUCUUAAUUCAGCACUUCAUCU
Molecule: unclassified non-coding RNA, 345 nt
Filed under: Hevea brasiliensis (rubber tree)
Lineage: Eukaryota; Viridiplantae; Streptophyta; Magnoliopsida; Malpighiales; Euphorbiaceae
Source: RNAcentral